AGGCUGUGAGGAAUGCUGGGAGUUGAAGUCCAAGACACCUGAGAGAAGGCCCAAGUAGGCCCAUGCCAGGUUUAACCCCACCCACAUACACAUAUUAACACUGGGAGUGAUUUACAAAAAUAUUUAGGGGCAAGCGGGAAGUAAAGGCCUGAAACAGAAGCCUCAAGACUGAAAAAUGAGGCAUCUAUCAGGUGUGGUGAAAAAUCCAAAAUGGAAGCCUCUUGAAUAGAAGCUGAGGCAAAGUCUGGUGUGUUUGAGGAAAUGGGAGGAGACACUUGUUAACAUUUUCUGCCUCAUCUGCAAAUAUAACUUGGCUGACUUAAGAUAUGAUGCUCCCGGAAUCAGGUUCAAGCUGCAGCAUACCUGAGGACCCUGAUGAUAAGGCUGGCCCUGAUUCCCUUCCAUCUGUUGAUGCCUCCUGAUGUUGCUGAACUACAGCUCCCAGAACCCCUUUCCAUCAGCUACAUUUUCUAAGGCAGCUGGUAAUUGUAGUCAAACCUGCAUUUUACCUAUCUGCAUGUGGGCAACCAACAACGUGGACUCAUUUAUUGUGAGUAUAUUACAUUAAAGACCCUCAGCGAGUUCAACCAAGGUAUGAAAAACCAAUAUUCCCUGAUGACUAAUUUAAAAAAGGACUAGAGACACAGGAUAAAGAAGAGUAUGAGUAGAAAUUGAUAUUAUAGCCACUAGAGGGCAAUAGUUCAAAGUCAUAUGAGACUUCUGUUUGCGUACCAGUCAGGAGGAGCCUAAUACGAGUACACUAUUAUCCAAUAAAGUAACUUGCCCAGGCUCUUUGGAUCUCUAAACUUCUCUCAUUUUGAAAGCGAAUUGGGCAACCACAUAGUUAAACAAGGUUAUCCUGUUAUGGAGUUUGAUCAAUGUUGCAAUAGGUUUUUUUAAACAAAAUUUCUCAAUAUACUGUAUAGAAGAAACACAAUUGGAAUGAGCGUGAUUACUUUCAAUUGCAACACAAAGAGACACCAAAAGAACAACAGGAAUUGAGUAGAGUUGAGGUCUCAUAGUAAAAAACAACUUCAGUUGCAUGACAUGUUUAUUUGAAAAGUCAGACAGAAACCCUGAGUUGCCAGACACAGAAUCAGUUAAAUAAAAAAGGACAGAGCCAAGCUGAUUUUUUUUUUUUGCAUUUCACACAAUGAGGCUCUUGCUUGUGCUAUAGUUUGUUUUAAAAACAAAAGACAUUCCUCCCACCUUGAUGACAUUCCCACCAUGGGGAAACCAUUUUUUACAAGCUCAUUGCACGUUCAGAAGUUAACUAUGGCCUGGCGUGGGUCUAGGGGCCAACUGCAUUACAAGAGAUAGAAAAAAAUAAUCCCAGUGUGGCAAGUGAGGAUGUCCACAACAGUGUGAUGUUCAAAGAGGGCAGGGUGGAAAAACUUACUGCUGUGAUCAUCUGGGUCGGGCUCCCCGGAUACCAACUGAGGAGACAGCCAGCAGAAAAAAAGGCCUGAAUUUGCUUCUGCUGCAAACAAGCCCGGCAGGUAAAGCGUCUACUAUCCAGUCAGCAGAUAAGGCAGCCUCGUGUCAGGAGUAGGAUGCUGCCAGACUAGUCAACUAUUUGGCCUGAUCGAACACAUCUAUUGUUUGUUAGGGAGCGUUAAGUUGUUGUAUGAAUGCCUUAUUAUUUGCCUCAUCUUUUCUCUUUUUUUGUUGGGGACGUUGUCUGUUCCUGUAUUGUUUGAUUUUAAUUCAAUGUAUAUGGGAAAUGGGGCGGCAAUACAAGUGGUACAGGGCAAGGCAGGGUUAUAUGUGCUUAGAGAGGAAGGGGAGAAAGGUGUUUUAACACCCAUCUCACUUCCCAGACACCCUGCCAGCCUGGGAAACUUGGGAAAGUGAGUCAGGCCACCCACCUCAUCUUGCUCUUAAGUAAUGCCAGGUAGGUUAAAAAUAAAACACACAUAAUAUACAACCUCCUCAAAGUUGAGAGAGCUGACUCGGCAUGCUCUACUGAGACUUGGCUGGGGGAUGAUAGUGGUCCAACCAGGGCUCAGGACCUCCCAGGCAGGUACUGCGUGAGUGAGCAAGUGAGGGAAAGUGAGCGGAGAGGGUGUAGUUGUUGUAUAUAAAGCCCAUCUUAGUUGUUUCCCGGAUCAAUGCACUCAGCAGGUCAUACUCUGGGGAGUGUCUGCUCCAUCCUGCCAGAGGACAUUUCAUCAGCUGCCCCAAGACUGUGGAAUGACCUGCCGAAAGGGAUCUGGCAGCUAAAUCAGCCAUAGGAAUUUAAGACGCAAUUAAAGACCUAUCCAGUCAAUUUUUAACUAUGAAUGUUUAAACUCCUGUCCUGUAUUUAUUGUAUUUUAAUAUAUGCAUUUCAUAGAAAUACAUUUCAAUAUCUCUAUUUUACAUGUUGUAUAAUGAUAUGUUUUUAACUGUGUUGUACCCUGCCUCAAUGAGAGAUGAGUAAAAAAUAAAAAAUAGGAUUAGGAUUAGGAUUAUUAUGAAAGAAAAGAGACAUUUGUUCAAAAUUCUUUUGGACUGCAGCCACGUAGCUUCAAGGAUUGGGAACAUUAAGUUAAAAUGCUCAUGCACAUCAGAUCUCGUAUAUUAGUAAAAGAGAGAGCAUCUGUAGAAACAGAGGGUAUCCUGUACGAAAAAAGUCUCUGUUAGAAUGAUUGGUGAGAGAGAAGGACAGAGCAUGUUCCAGUUGUACCAGGUUAGCAUUUCAGAGGCAUUGAUUCAUCCAAUGCUUGCUUGUUUGCAGGCUGAAGAGGCUGGCUAUGUCAUGGCAACAAGCAGUAGAGUGAUGUGUGUUCAGCUUCUCAGAUGCAUGAUAUAGAUCCCUUUACAGAUAAUUUCUCUGUACACUGAAAACAAAAACAAAGAGGGGAAUCCAGAGAGAGAGCAAGAGCUAGUCUAUCUGGAGGCACUUGGCCCUGGAAAUACAUUUGAGGAUGUGCCUCAAAACGGCGUCUUGCUGGGACAACGUCUCCUGUUCCCGUGGAAAUCCAAGGAAGAUUGUCAGAGAAGCAGCACUGGUUGGGGGGCCUGGGGAACACCCAGCAUUUCCACGUCACAGUGUGGUCGAUGGGAGCUUCUUGACUCGCCUCUGCGCGAGGAAGGAGUACUCGAUGGGCUUCAGCUGGGGACCUGGCUUGGAGUUGUUCAGUGCAGAGUAUGUGGCAGCCAUGGCACCCUAGAGAGAGAAGAGGCAUGGGUGUCUCCCCCAAAGGCACACAUAGGUUUUCCUCACCCCAGUUCAUAUUAAAAGCAUGAAAAAAGAAUAGGGAGGGACAUUUCACCCCACGAUUUCUAGAUGAGCUCUGAAACACAUAUGUUACCCUACACGCAUUUGCAUAUGUACACAUCCUAUCAGGAAAUCAGAACACUUACUCUCCGCUGCAUGCAGUUUUUGGCAGCAGGCCUGCAUAAUUGCAAAACAGCCCUAGAUUUUCAAAGAAAGCUUUGCAGCAAAUAGUCCAAAGGGCCUAUGGCUGUCGACAAAGUCACUGGAAUGAUGCUGCCUAGCAUUUUGGCACCCUGGAUCCACCUGGCUAAUAACUGGCUCUAGGAGAAUGGGACAAUGCCAACAAGGGCUGGAAUUCUCUUUCAGCAUAUGGGCCACAUUAAUUUCAAAGAAAAUUCUGGCUACUGCAGCCCAGCAAUGAGCAGGGUCAAAGGCAAGAGGGUGGGACCAAAAAUAUCGGCGUGUUUGAACCUAAAACUCUUACUACCAAUAACUGCAUCAUUUCAACCUUUUGUAAUGUGAGCAAAUCCAUACAGUAACUGGUAUGGGAUAGGGAACGAUAUAAAUAAACAAUAUUAACAACAAUAACAUCAAUCAGAAAGAGGAUCUUCUGAAGAAUUACUCCAAUAAUAUGGAAUGGUAUUCCAUUGUAUUGUUUACUAGAGAAACUGGUGAUAAAAGAAGAUUGUUGGAUAGAAAGAACAAAUGCUGCCAUUUCUAUUUGAAAUGUAGGAUUUAAAGUAAUAUAUUCAAUAGGUUAAACAUCUAACAAAUAUAGAAAGGAACACAGAAAUCCUGUGUCAAGCUAUUUAUCCUUUUAGCUCAGUAUUGCCUACCCUGAGAGUGCUAUGUUGGGUGUGGAUAUGCAACAUGUGGCCUAAUAGGUAUUACUAGAAUGAAAGUCCCUAGCUAUCAUAAUCAAUUAUCAGGAAUUCUGGGGGUUGUGAUCCAACAGUGUCUGGAAGGUUGUGUGAUUCCUGCAUCUGGUUUGCCUUAGGCAAACAUCUUUCACUUUAUUGCUACAUAAAAUCCUUUUAAAAUUAGAUAGUGCAGUGAUCAGACGAAGGAUGCCUACAUGUAAAGCAGGUGUUCUACCAUUUAGCUAUGGAGAAAGAGCAGGUAGAUUGGAAUAUUAGGACUUAAUAUGAAGGUUUUAUUACAUGAAGGUUCUUUUUAGCAGUUGUAUGGAGAGAUCAUUCACGCCGGGUCUGACUCCUGCUCAUGUGUGACAGGCAGAACUUGUGUUUAUCAAUUAUCUUCAGCAUCACGAAGGGGAGAGCCAGCCCUUGCUUCCCAGUGAUGGAAUGACAAAGCUCCAAGCAAAAGACAAAAACACUGCCAGUGGCAUAAAACCACACAAAGAUACUAACUAGCAUGGGAGGGAUUUCCCUCCACACGCUGCUGAAAAGGAGCCUACCAAUGUUCCGUUUUCCCAAGACAACCCUUCAUGCUUGGACCUCCACAAGUGGUUGCCACACCCCCAGGGCAAGGGAACAAUCUGCUAUAAAGACCCAAUCCACGAUCAAGACCAUGGCUUCCCAAAAAAAGAUGCAUCUGUCGAAGCAAAUUUGUUAAUCCUGUAGUGUUUGAUGAAAGAACACAAAGAGGCCCAAGCGGCUGCUCGACUAAUCUCCGACCUCGAAGAAGCUCUUGUGCUCGACGUGGAGUGUGCCUGAAUCCCUGCUGGGACAGGUUGGGAACACAAACCAAUUCUAUACCCUGUCACAAUCAAUGGGACAAUACAGAGGAAGAUACACAUUGUGAGAGCAUCGAAAGCCAAAGCCCCUCCGUCCAAAAUCUUGACACAAAUUGAGGCAGUCUGUGACUCUCCUGGGAGGCAAAACACACCUAGUGUUUCUCUAGCAUUUGAAAUACUAGGCAAUUCAGAGCCAUUCAUCCUGAUCAGGCUCAUCUGCUUAGUUAAUUGGCAUGGCUAUUUAGUUGACCAGUCAGGUAUUCACCCCUGAAUAAAUGAAAGUAACUAUCCCCAUAUCACACCACAAGCAUUCAGAAUAGACCUAGGUCAUAAAGACAGCGUUAUCUAGGUAGAGAUUCACUAACUAUCACAAAAACCAAUUUAGCUGGAGUGCGAAAGCGCUGUCCAGAAUCUAUCUGCUGCAAGAUGGAACUGGGAAGGUGGGACUGGCUCUCCUCUUUAUGAUCAUAAAGGUGAUUGACAUAUAACAAACCCUGCCUGUCAAAUGUACGGAGAAGCCAGACUCAGCACCAAGACUGCCUCACUACACUCCUGGGAAAACAGCAAGGUAAUAGUCCUUUACUGUGUUGUAGGAUGCUUUUGGGGACAAUCAGUGUGGUGCAAUGGCUUCACCAGUAACUCAUUGUAACUCUGGAGCCCAGGGUUCAAAUCCCCACUCGGCCACAGAAACGCUUUGGGUGACCUUAGACAAGUCACACUCUCUCAACCCGAGAGAGAGGGACAAAGGCACCCUCCCUAGAACAAAUCCUGCCAAGAAAACCUCAUAAUAUGUUAUUCACUUUACACUUCAAGGCAUACAACAACUACAUAACAAUGACUUCAAGGCACGCAACAACUACAGUAGAGUCUCGCUUAUCCAACCUCCACUUACCCAACGUUCAGUAUUAUCAAACGCAGCCGGUCUUUUAGUAGUCAGUGUUUUUGUAGUCAAUGUUUUGGUGCUAAAUUUGUAAAUACAGUAAUUACUACAUAGCAUCACUGCAUAUUGAACUGCUUUUUCUGUUGAUUUGUUGUAUAACAUGAUGUUUUGGUGCUUAAUUUGUAAAAUCAUAAUGUAAUUUGAUGUUUAAUAGGCUUUUCCUUAGUCCCUCCUUAUUAUCCAACAUUUUCACUUAUCCAAUGUUCUGCCAGCCCGGCCCGUUUAUGUUGGAUAAGAGAGACUCUACUGUACAUAACAAUGACUUCAAGGCACGCAACAACUACAUACAUGCUUUUAGAACUUUAGGGUAGGAAUAAAAGAAUCUUAUUGAACAAAACCUCCACUAAGUAUGUCUCUUAAAGACCAUCAGAUGGCGAAAGGGACCAGGUUUUACUAGAUCCAAUAUGCUACCUAAGAGGAGACACACCAAUCCGUCCAAUUCAACCACAGGUUCAUACCUUGACAAGCUGUACAUCCUGGUGACUCAGCUGGCUCUGGGGCAACCUGUCCUUCUGGGUGAUCCACAGGUGCUGGAGGACUUGCUUGGCGGUCAGGCGCUGAUGAGGAUCAAUAUGGAGCAUCUUUGAUACCAGGUCCUACAAGAAGCAUUCAAAGAAUACAGCUAUGAUCAUCGCCAACCAGAAGAUUGGCAGUUUGAAGCCCAAGUUGGAGUGAGCACCCAUCCGUCAGCCCAGCUAACUGUCCACCUAAGCAGUUCGAAAACAGCUGAGUUGUGAGUACAGAAAUUAGGCUCCGCUUAAGCAGGGAGGUAUUUUACGGCACCAUAAAAAUGCCGGCGAUCACAGAACAAGGAGGAAUAACUCUGCGAUCUUCAUCGUCAUAGCAGAUGGAGCGACAGCACCCCGUGGCCAGAAUCGAGCAUAACCUCCAGGUACUGAAGUUGGACAAAAAGGCUGAUAUCUCUCUAUCUGUUUGUCAUGUAUGUGUGUUGUGAUCUGCCCUGAGUCCCCUUCGGGGUGAGAAGGGCGGAAUAUAAAUGCUGUAAAUAAAUAAAUUCUAGGAA
Long non-coding RNA from Anolis carolinensis (green anole), 6862 nucleotides. RefSeq lists it as uncharacterized. The transcript has 4 exons. NCBI's taxonomy places the organism in Eukaryota, Metazoa, Chordata, Lepidosauria, Squamata, Anolidae. The record is from RefSeq and is a predicted model, not a curated record.